RNAcentral lists this ribosomal RNA (433 nucleotides) under uncultured bacterium. RNAcentral's name for it is "partial 16S ribosomal RNA". It matches the Rfam family "Bacterial small subunit ribosomal RNA", at positions 29 to 507 of the family's 1533-position model. The record is from RNAcentral.
AACGAACGCUGGCGGCAUGCCUAACACAUGCAAGUCGAACGAGACCUUCGGGUCUAGUGGCGCACGGGUGCGUAACGCGUGGGAACCUGCCCUUAGGUUCGGAAUAACUCCCCGAAUGGGGUGCUAAUACCGGAUAAUGUCUUCGGACCAAAGAUUUAUCGCCUUUGGAUGGGCCGGCGUUGGAUUAGCUAGUUGGUAGGGUAAAAGCCUACCAAGGGUCCGAUCAAUAGCUGGUCUGAGAGGAUGAUCAGCGACCCUGGGACUGAGACACGGCCCAGACUCCUACGGGAGGCAGCAGUGGGGAAUAUUGGACAAUGGGCGAAAGCCUGAUAAAGCAAUGCCGCGUGAGUGAUGAAGGCCUUAGAGUGGUAAAGCUCUUUUACCCGGGAUGAUAAUGACAGUACCGGGAGAAUAAGCACCGGCUAACUCCGUG